GCUGGCGGCGUGGAUAAGACAUGCAAGUCGGACGAGAUUUCGUCCUGUAGCAAUACGGGAAGAAGUCUAGUGGCGAACGGGUGCUUAACACGUGGGCAAUCUGUCUUAAAGUGGGGGAUAGCUCGGCGAAAGCCGAAUUAAUACCGCAUGUGAUUAGAGUGGACAUCCAUUCAAAAUCAAAGUCGGGGCAACCUGACGCUUUUUGAGGAGCCCGCGGCCUAUCAGCUAGUUGGUGAGGUAACGGCUCACCAAGGCUUUGACGGGUAGCUGGUCUGAGAGGACGACCAGCCACACUGGGACUGAGACACGGCCCAGACACCUACGGGUGGCAGCAGUCGAGAAUUUUUCUCAAUGGGGGAAACCCUGAAGGAGCGACGCCGCGUGGAGGAUGAAGGUCUUCGGAUUGUAAACUCCUGUCAUUGGGGAACAAGGUGCAUACGUUAACUGCGUGUGCAUUGAUAGUACCCGAAGAGGAAGAGACGGCUAACUCUGUGCCAGCAGCCGCGGUAAUACAGAGGUCUCAAGCGUUGUUCGGAUUCAUUGGGCGUAAAGGGUGCGUAGGCGGCGCGGUAAGUCGG
Molecule: ribosomal RNA, 578 nt
Filed under: uncultured soil bacterium
Lineage: Bacteria
Description: bacterial SSU rRNA
Rfam family: Bacterial small subunit ribosomal RNA
Source: RNAcentral